Acanthosepion pharaonis is the source of this 112-nucleotide non-coding RNA. Lineage: Eukaryota; Metazoa; Mollusca; Cephalopoda; Sepiida; Sepiidae. The record is from the annotation of a GenBank genome assembly.
AUGGCCAUAUCACAUUGAAACACCGGUUUUAGUUUGAUCACUGAAGUUAAGCAACAUCAAGUCUAGCCAGUACCUAGAUGAGUGACCACUUUGGAAUACCAGGUGCUGUAAG